RNAcentral lists this ribosomal RNA (497 nucleotides) under uncultured bacterium. RNAcentral's name for it is "partial 16S ribosomal RNA". It matches the Rfam family "Bacterial small subunit ribosomal RNA", at positions 28 to 507 of the family's 1533-position model. The record is from RNAcentral.
GAUGAACGCUGGCGGCGUGCCUAAUACAUGCAAGUCGAGCGAACAGACGAGGAGCUUGCUCCUCUGACGUUAGCGGCGGACGGGUGAGUAACACGUGGAUAACCUACCUAUAAGACUGGGAUAACUUCGGGAAACCGGAGAUAAUACCGGAUAAUAUAUUGAACCGCAUGGUUCAACAGUGAAAGACGGUUUUGCUGUCCCUUAUAGAUGGUACCGGGCCGCAUUAGCUAGUUGGUAAGGUAACGGCUUACCAAGGCAACGAUGCGUAGCCGACCUGAGAGGAUGAUCAGCCACACUGGAACUGAGACACGGUCCAGACUCCUACGGGAGGCAGCAGUAGGGAAUCUUCCGCAAUGGGCGAAAGCCUGACGGAGCAACGCCGCGUGUGUGAUGAAGGUCUUCGGAUCGUAAAGCUCUGUUAUUAGGGAAGAACAAAUGUGUAAUUAACUAUUCACGUCUUGACGGUACCUAAUCAGAAAGCCCCGGCUAACUUCGUG